This is a long non-coding RNA of Stegodyphus dumicola, 2121 nucleotides long. NCBI's taxonomy places the organism in Eukaryota, Metazoa, Arthropoda, Arachnida, Araneae, Eresidae. The record is from RefSeq and is a predicted model, not a curated record.
GAUUUAUACGAGGAUGAUAAACAAGUUAUAGAAAAUAUAAAAAGAAUUGGACCUUGUGCAACUAUAAAUUCUGUUGCAUGCUGCUUACUGGAUAAAGUCAAUUCUCAAACAUUUCAUGCAGCAUUGCAGUGUUUAUGUGCCACUGCUGCUUCUUAUCAAGAAGAACUUGCUUUAGCAUUUGAAAUUACAAGAAUUGCAUUGCCAAAAGCUCACAGAGUAUCAUUAUCUAAUGUAAUAUCUGAUUUUUUCCGAUAUUUGCCAGAAUUGGAGGAAAUCCUGCAGUAAUAAUCAAGCUUUCCUUUUUUGAAAAUUUCAAGAUAUAUUUUCUUAAAAUAUACUGCUUAUUCUUCAUAAAAUAUACUGCUGAUUGUUACUAGAGUGUGUAAAAAAAGUGCAGAUCUUGUUAUUAUUAUAUUUUGUGAACAACAUGAAUAUGUUUUUUAAAUACUUUUAAAGCUGCAUGGUCAUGGUUAUAUCUAAAUUUGAAAUAGCAUUAUACUGAAAACUGCAUAAAUGCUAAUGCAUAAUCUUCCACAAUUCUGAAAACUGAAUGAAUGUAUUCCGGAAAUUAAUACUUUUGUGAGUUAUCUUAUAUUUUUCCCUUAAUAAUAUUGAUAUCUCAAUCUAAUUACUGCAAUAUCUCAAUAUUAACUCUUAUGUUUAUAAAUGUUUAGCUUGUUCUUUUUUUUUUUUUUUUUUUUUUUUAAUAUUGAUUUUUGGUUUUGAAAAUUAUUUAGAUAAAUUUUAUCUUAAAUUUGUAUAAUAUAGGAAUUUCUGUAUAUCUGCCUCACACUAAUGAUAAUGAUAUCGUUUUCAGUGUAGUUGUCAUAGUUUUUCUUCUAAUCUAUAUUAUGAAUGAAUUUAAAUCUUUAACAAAAAAGGUAUUUUAGUGUUUGUCUCAUUUCUGUGUCACAAAAUUUUUCUCAGCAAAAUUAAUUGCUUCAUUAGAAUGACAGUUCCAUCAGUAAAUCAGUAUAAUAUUUCCUCUGAAUAUUUGAAAGACUCAAAAUUCUUUGAAAUUUUUUAAAAAUUAAAUCUAAAAAAUAAAUCACGGACAAUAAAAACCCUUGCUAAAUACAGACUUGUGAAAUGCAAUUUUGUGUAUAUGUGUUUUCUUGUCUCUAUUUAAUUUGUCUAAUGCAAGAAUUUACAACAGGGUUUACUUUCUCAACAAGAAGUCUAUAAGUAUUGGUGCUGCUUGUAAGUCUGCUCAAAAGCAAUAAUUCCUUUUUGUAACUUUCUUUCACCCAUUUCUAUAAGCAAUUCAACAUAAUACACUGCAUAAAAAUGAUUAAGCUUAAAUGGGAACAAGUGAAUUCAUCAACAUUAAAUGCUUAUUGUCAUUAGUUCUGUCCAGAAGUUGUCAACUGUUUUAACCCUUUCAGGAUGGGCAUCCCAUAUAUGCAUUCCCUAAGAACGUCUCUCUUACAGCCGGGCAUCCCAUCCACCCAUCACUAGAGAUUGCAUUCAGAGGACGGGUGAUGCGUAUACUCAUUUUAAGCUGGAACAUUUUUCUAAAGACCAUUAGUGGCAUCCUAUGUCCAUUACUUUUGAAAUGAACACAGUUUUAGGUUCCUGAGAGUUUGAUAUAUUCUGCCUGAUUUUGGUAUUUUGUUCAUCAACUGUUGAAAGGGUGGAGGGGAAAGCGUAAACAGACGUGGGCUCUUUAAAUCAGGAUGUACUAAUAUAAACAUUUGCAUGUCUGAUUUAUAUCCAAUUCCUUUUUUUCCUCUCUUCUAUGUACGGUGUUUUAGGUUUACUAUGCGGAGUUCUGUUACGUUUUGUAUUGCCUUCAGGUAUAUUUCUGUUUCUUCUCUUUAUUUUGGAAAGCCUCACCUGCAGUCUAUUAUGGCGGGAAGGCGCUAUUUAUCAGAGGAAUAAUACCCUCGUAUGGUUAAUAAACCAUUUACUAAUGCAGAUGAGAGUGAUGAUUCAUUUUCUAAAAAGUUAGAAAGUGAUACUUCUCUGUGCUACAAGAUUUACCACAUUGUCUUCAUUUUAAACUUUGUUACUUACUGUAAAUAGUCUUCAUUAUGUUGUUUUAUUAAUUUUAAACUUUAUCAAUGGGUUUUUAUCAAUUAAAACUUUGGACUAAUUUGAAUAGCGCUUCUGAAAGUUAUU